Long non-coding RNA from Podarcis raffonei (Aeolian wall lizard), 2148 nucleotides. RefSeq lists it as uncharacterized. The transcript has 4 exons. NCBI's taxonomy places the organism in Eukaryota, Metazoa, Chordata, Lepidosauria, Squamata, Lacertidae. The record is from RefSeq and is a predicted model, not a curated record.
AACUCCCACGAUCCCUAGCUAGCAGGACCAGUGGUCAGGGAUGAUGGGAACCAUAGUCUCAAAACAUCUGGAGGGCCGAGGUUGAGGAAGCCUGACCUAGGAGGCAUACUCGAUUGUGUCUUGAGACAGACAGAUGCAAACAAAGACCUCAUAUUUUUAUGAGUACACAAUGGAUUUUCAGUAAGUCAGGAAGGUCAAGGUUCCAGCAAUUUCCUUUACCUUUUCAGGGACUCCAAAUUGUCAAAAGGAAAAACACAACGUAUGCUAUGGUAUGGGUGUGUGCUAUAUGGUCACAACCAGGAGAACUUUGCUCUUCAAGGGGACAUAUCUGAACUGCUGCAUCUUAGCCAUUCCUUAAUGGAUUUUUGCUAGGAUUUUGCCAGUUUAUAUUAGUCAUAACACAGGUACUCCAUGUCAAACUUCCCCAAGAUGGGUCCAAUUGUUUUUAUUUUAUAAUAAUAGAACACUUUUUGACCAGGCUUCUGCUUUAAUAUCCAGCACUCCCCAUCCUGUUUAAUCAGACCUAUAUCAAAGAAAGGAAGACCUGCAAGUACUACAUACUCUUCAACCAGAUUUGAACAUUGCAGAAAAAGCAACACUGUCCAUAAGCAGGAGCUGAUGCCACAGGUAUAGGGCACAGCAACUUUGAAAACCUGGAAGAAGGCAGCAGUAGCUUGUAAUGUAUGGUUUCCCCAAUGUUUUCGAUGAAGCAACCAGAAAAAAAAGACAAAGUCUGCAGCAAAACCUUUUAAAUAGAAAUAAUUUACCAUAGCCUUCUCAGGGAGUUCAGUACAUUCUUACGUCCAUGGAGUUAAAGCAACAGACAAGCAAAAUUGUGGGAUGAUGCAUGAGGUUUACAAUUUUUUGGUACACUGCCAUCUUAUCUACAAGAACUGCAGCUGGUGCAGGACAAGGAAAAAAGGGACCAUCUCCCUAGAAGAUUAAUAGUUUGCUGCAUGGAAGAACAAAGUGUAGAUAAACAUAAAUAAACAUGCAUUGAACACCGUCUGCUGCGUAUGAGCUAAAUCAUUCUGCCAAAGGGAAAUAAAGAAAAGCUACUUUAACAUUUAGAGCAGUGCAAGACAGCAUGGAUAAGCUCAGAUUAACAGAGAGCUGCAUCAGCAUAUAUUGAAAGACAGACAGAAAGGCAGACCACAGAAGCCAAAUCUUGUCUACAUGGCCUCUUGGAUUCUUGGCAGAGUCAACAAUGCCGUCAUCAAGAACAUCAGGACCAGAUGCUACUUGCCAAAGGAAAUCAACAGAAGCACUUGCAAAUUCUGUGAUCUUGUUCCCAGCUUCCAUUCUCAGAUGCCUGCACUUCCACAGGGGAGAGGAAGACAUCAUCAGCACAACAGAUCGCUUUUCUGUAUCGCACCCAUUAUGCCCUUGUGUAAAUCUGCUUAUGCACGCAAUGAACACAUUGCUGUCAGUGUAAAUAUAGUUCUCAUGCUUUAUUUAGAAGUAAAUUCAUAUAGCAAUAAAUGACUAAACAUUUCUUAUGGACUUUAUAUUAUCAUUCCCAAUAAAUUGUAAAAUGGCUAUGCUCUGGGUGGUCUGGAGUGUCAGAGAAGGAGAAAGCACAAGGAAGUUCCUGUAUACCAGGGGAAACCCCCACAUACACAGGGAAAGUAUGUUUACAUUAAACCUGCCUCAAAAUUACUCCAAGACCAAGAACUGUGUGUACCUACUGUAUAUCCUUCAACCUGUCACAGAACCCUGGCUGUAGAUGGUAGUGCACUGGCUUAGCUAGGCAUGAGCAAAUAUGUCAACUGUGGUUUCUCUCCAUCUUUGGAACUUACUUUGAGUAAACAUGCAUAGGAUCAGGUUUUAAUUUUCUAACUUUUCCAAAUAAAUAAGAGGAAUAUUCCAAGCUCUAUUCCAGCCUACAGCAAUAUACAGUGGUACCUCAGGUUACAUGUGCUUCAGGUUACAUACGCUUCAGGUUACAGACUCCACUAACCCAGAAAUAGUGCUUCAGGUUAAGAACUUUGCUUCAGGAUGAGAACAGAAAUCAUGCUCCGGCGGCGCGGCAGCAGCAGAAGGCCCCAUUAGUUAAAGUGGUGCUUCAGGUUAAGAACAGCUUCAGGUUAAGUACGGACCUUCAGAACGAAUUAAGUAUUUAACCCGAGGUACCACUGUACCAUGGAC